Molecule: small RNA, 101 nt
Filed under: Halothiobacillus diazotrophicus
Lineage: Bacteria; Pseudomonadati; Pseudomonadota; Gammaproteobacteria; Chromatiales; Halothiobacillaceae
Description: Halothiobacillus sp. LS2 t44 RNA
Rfam family: t44 RNA
About the family: This family consists of a number of bacterial RNA genes of between 135 and 170 bases in length. The t44 gene is found between the map and rpsB genes in all species in the full alignment apart from Shigella flexneri.
Source: Rfam by way of RNAcentral
UUCGAUCGCGGGGCAAUUCACACGCCCGGUGUUAAAGCAGCGCGGGGUGCCGAAGGGCAGAGGCCUGACGGUUGCGUUGCUUGGCCGGGCGGAGGCUCAAC